AACUUGAUUCUCCCCUUGGAAAAGUACACGCUAUCAAUCCCUUGGUUUGAAUCUAACUGGAAAGUGAAAUCCUUGAUUCUGGUCCACAUUCAUGUCCCUCUGAUACAUCCUCACGGACUGCCACGGUGUGUUCCGCAGAGCCUUCUCUUCCCCUUCCCUUUCCUCUUUCCUUUUCCUUUUCCUUUUCCUUUUCCUUUUCCUUUUCCUUUUCCCCUUCCCCUUCACCUUCCCCUUCCCCUUCCCCUUCCCCUUCUCCUUCCCUUCGUACCCCGGAGUCCCGGCUCCGCAGGGCAGGGACAAGCCCCCGACUCUCGGUGCCCAGCACGGCGAGCACGCCGCCCCUUUCCUUCCCGCCCGCCGCCCCUCGCGGCCUCCCCCCCCUCCACACCCGGUGCCUGGCGCGGGCGGCGCGGCCCCGCGGCCCGGCCCGGCCCCGCCGCUGGCAGCCGCCGGGGCGGAGCCCUCGCGCCCUAUCGCCGCCGGGCCUCCCGCCACCUCCCCUCACGGCCCGGCCCCGGACCCAGCCGCGGCGAGGCGGAGCGGAGCGGAACGGGGCGGGGACCCGCGGCGGUGCCGCCCGCCCGUGCUCGGCGGCCGGGGCUGGCCCCGCGGUCGCCCGGGAGCGGUGUCUGUGGGCCCGGGCCGGCUGGGGCGAAACUCCCCGGGGGAGGGGAGGGAAAGGGAGGAGAGCGGCCGGGCCGGGCCGGGAGCCGGGAGCGCUGCGGGGCCCUGUCCGUCCCGGCCCGAGCGAUGCGGCCGGCUCCGCGGCACCGAGCGGCGGCGUGCGGGGAGCUGCCGUGCCCCGGGAGGCGGCCGCGUGUCCGUGGCUCGGGGCAGGAGAGCCGGCAGCUGGCGGAGCCGGCCGGCACGGCUCAGCCCGCGGGGAAGAAGUGGCACCACACGGAGAGGCGGGCGGUUAUGGUCGAAUAUAUGCUGUUUAUUUAUGAGUGUAACCAGGACUUCGAACAAACUUUAUAUGCAGCCCUCCCUCCCCCCCAACAAUCCCCAACCCCACCGCUGGGUACCCACCCGCGGCGCACACGCCCCCCGCACACGCACGCCCCGGCGCUGCCCUCCCGCUGCCCCGGCCCCGGGCCGACUUGCUGCCCUGCUCCAGCUACGAGCGCUCCGGCGAAGGGGGUUUGUUUGGGCUGGUUUGUUUGUGUGUUGUUGUUUUUUUUUUGUUUGUUUGUUUGUUUGUUUUUCCGCUCUCUGCCGGGGAUAAGCUCCGGAGUCCAAAGGUGCUGCGGCGGGGAGGCAGCGGCCGGCCCGGGCCCGCGCUGGAGGCAGCGCAGCGCACACUCGCACUCACCCACCCACACAAAUAAUAAAAUAACGUUGCAGCACAAGGGCAUAGUCUCUGUCACCAGAUAA
RNAcentral lists this long non-coding RNA (1374 nucleotides) under Anas platyrhynchos platyrhynchos (common mallard). RNAcentral describes it as "lncRNA (ENSAPLG00000028932.1)". The record is from RNAcentral. Lineage: Eukaryota; Metazoa; Chordata; Aves; Anseriformes; Anatidae.